UGAUCCCUACGGGAAGCAGCAGUGGGGAAUAUUGCGCAAUGGGCGAAAGCCUGACGCAGCGACGCCGCGUGAGGGAUGAAGGUCUUCGGGUCGUAAACCUCUGUCAGCAGAGAAGAACGGUCACUGUGCUAAUCAGCAGUGAAUUGACGGUACCUGCAAAGGAAGCACCGGCUAACUCCGUGCCAGCAGCCGCGGUAAUACGGAGGGUGCGAGCGUUAAUCGGAAUUACUAGGCGUAAAGCGCUCGUAGGCGGUAUGUCAAGUCAAGGGUGAAAUCCCCGCGCUCAACGUGGGAAC
This 296-nucleotide ribosomal RNA is filed under the name uncultured bacterium. RNAcentral's name for it is "partial 16S ribosomal RNA". It matches the Rfam family "Bacterial small subunit ribosomal RNA", at positions 333 to 621 of the family's 1533-position model. The record is from RNAcentral.